UCGAUUUUCGUGCAAGUCAAACUUGUGUAUAUUUGAUCAAGAUUAUAGAAUAAAAUAUCGACAUCUACAAAACAAAAUAGAUAAACUUUUCGUGAUGGAUAUAAUAAUACAAAUUUGGUACUGUAGAUGUUGAUAUUUUUAUUCCAAAAACUUGGUCAAACAUGCACAUGUUUGACUUUGAAAAAACUACU
RNAcentral lists this microRNA precursor (191 nucleotides) under Triticum urartu. RNAcentral's name for it is "MIR1435 microRNA precursor family". It matches the Rfam family "MIR1435 microRNA precursor family". The record is from Rfam by way of RNAcentral. Lineage: Eukaryota; Viridiplantae; Streptophyta; Magnoliopsida; Poales; Poaceae.